ACGGGUGAGUAACACGUGGGAACGUACCCUUCGGUUCGGAAUAACGCUGGGAAACUAGCGCUAAUACCGGAUACGCCCUUAUGGGGAAAGGUUUACUGCCGAAGGAUCGGCCCGCGUCUGAUUAGCUAGUUGGUGGGGUAAUGGCCUACCAAGGCGACGAUCAGUAGCUGGUCUGAGAGGAUGAUCAGCCACACUGGGACUGAGACACGGCCCAGACUCCUACGGGAGGCAGCAGUGGGGAAUAUUGGACAAUGGGCGCAAGCCUGAUCCAGCCAUGCCGCGUGAGUGAUGAAGGCCUUAGGGUUGUAAAGUUCUUUUGUCCGGGACGAUAAUGACGGUACCGGAAGAAUAAGCCCCGGCUAACUUCGUGCCAGCAGCCGCGGUAAUACGAAGGGGGCUAGCGUUGCUCGGAAUCACUGGGCGUAAAGGGCGCGUAGGCGGCCAUUCAAGUCGGGGGUGAAAGCCUGUGGCUCAACCACAGAAUUGCCUUCGAUACUGUUUGGCUUGAGUAUGGUAGAGGUCAGUGGAACUGCGAGUGUAGAGGUGAAAUUCGUAGA
Molecule: ribosomal RNA, 557 nt
Filed under: uncultured Methylobacterium sp.
Lineage: Bacteria; Pseudomonadati; Pseudomonadota; Alphaproteobacteria; Hyphomicrobiales; Methylobacteriaceae
Description: bacterial SSU rRNA
Rfam family: Bacterial small subunit ribosomal RNA
Source: RNAcentral